GAUGAACGCUGGCGGCGUGCCUAAUACAUGCAAGUCGAACGCAUUGAGAGAAGUGCUUGCACUUUUCAAUUUGAGUGGCGAACGGGGGAGUAACACGUGGGCAACCUACCUGAUAGCGGGGGAUAACGAGUGGAAACAUUCGCUAAUACCGCAGAACAAUAGAGAAGGCAUCUUCUUUAUUUAAAAGGCGCUUUCAAGCGGCACUAUCAGAUGGACCCGCGGUGCAUCAGUUAGUUGGUGGGGUGAAGGCAUACCAAGACGAUGAUGCAUAGCCGAGUUGAGAGAACGAUCGGCCACAUUGGGAAUGAGACACGGCCCAAACUCCUACGGGAGGCUGCAGUAGGGAAUCUUCCACAAUGGACGAAAGUCUGAUGGAGCAACGCCGCGUGUGUGAUGAAGGCUUUCGGGUCGUAAAGCACUGUUGUAUGGGAAGAAAUGCUAGGCUAGGAAAUGAGCUUAGUUUGACGGUACCAUACCAGAAAGGGACGGCUAAAUACGUGCCAGCCGCCGCGGUAA
Molecule: ribosomal RNA, 516 nt
Filed under: uncultured bacterium
Lineage: Bacteria
Description: partial 16S ribosomal RNA
Rfam family: Bacterial small subunit ribosomal RNA
Source: RNAcentral